Molecule: long non-coding RNA, 438 nt
Organism: Macadamia integrifolia
Lineage: Eukaryota; Viridiplantae; Streptophyta; Magnoliopsida; Proteales; Proteaceae
Exons: 2
Source: RefSeq, a predicted model, not a curated record
CUUGGGAUGAAUACACAAAUCAAACUUUCAAACCAGUUUAACAAUCCAGAUUGAAAGAUCAGCUCCAACGGAGAGCAUGAAUAGUGUUUUGUUCUUACGUGUUUUUCUUCUGCUUGCUAUUGUAUUCUCAAGCGGUAACCUGAUGGGAGAUGCUUAUAAAUGCAAUUACAAUUAUCAUGUUCCUCAUUGUUUGCCUAAAGAAUGUGAGAGAUUCUGCAAAAUGAACUACAGCGGUGGAGAAGUUGAAGCAAAUUGCGUCAACCCUAUAACAUGUUGUUGCACUCAUGACUGUAGACAAGGAAUGUUUGGAUGAGCUUCUAAGUGAUUUGUGUCUAGUACAUCUUAUUGUUGAAGUUGAUAUCAGAUAAAAGAUAUAUAUUCUCCUAAUGAGAAAUAAUCAAAUAAAUAAAUGAUUUAUGAAGCUUUUCAGUUGGUAAA